RNAcentral lists this ribosomal RNA (450 nucleotides) under uncultured bacterium. RNAcentral's name for it is "partial 16S ribosomal RNA". It matches the Rfam family "Bacterial small subunit ribosomal RNA", at positions 354 to 796 of the family's 1533-position model. The record is from RNAcentral.
GUGGGGAAUCUUCCACAAUGGACGAAAGUCUGAUGGAGCAACGCCGCGUGAGUGAAGAAGGGUUUCGGCUCGUAAAGCUCUGUUGUCGGGGACGAAUGUGCAGUAUUUGAAUAAAGUAUUGCAAUGACGGUACCUGACGAGGAAGCCACGGCUAACUACGUGCCAGCAGCCGCGGUAAUACGUAGGUGGCAAGCGUUGUCCGGAAUUAUUGGGCGUAAAGGGAGCGCAGGCGGGAAGGUAAGUCGGUCUUAAAAGUGCGGGGCUCAACCCCGUGAUGGGAUCGAAACUAUCUUUCUUGAGUGCAGGAGAGGAAAGUGGAAUUCCUAGUGUAGCGGUGAAAUGCGUAGAUAUUAGGAGGAACACCAGUGGCGAAGGCGACUUUCUGGACUGUAACUGACGCUGAGGCUCGAAAGCCAGGGGAGCGAACGGGAUUAGAAACCCCUGUAGUCC